Molecule: ribosomal RNA, 427 nt
Filed under: uncultured bacterium
Lineage: Bacteria
Description: partial 16S ribosomal RNA
Rfam family: Bacterial small subunit ribosomal RNA
Source: RNAcentral
UGGGGAAUAUUGGACAAUGGGCGAAAGCCUGAUCCAGCCAUGCCGCGUGUGUGAAGAAGGUCUUCGGAUUGUAAAGCACUUUAAGUUGGGAGGAAGGGCAUUAACCUAAUACGUUAGUGUUUUGACGUUACCGACAGAAUAAGCACCGGCUAACUCUGUGCCAGCAGCCGCGGUAAUACAGAGGGUGCAAGCGUUAAUCGGAAUUACUGGGCGUAAAGCGCGCGUAGGUGGUCUUUUAAGUUGGAUGUGAAAUCCCCGGGCUCAACCUGGGAACUGCAUUCAAAACUGACUGACUAGAGUAUGGUAGAGGGUGGUGGAAUUUCCUGUGUAGCGGUGAAAUGCGUAGAUAUAGGAAGGAACACCAGUGGCGAAGGCGACCACCUGGACUAAUACUGACACUGAGGUGCGAAAGCGUGGGGAGCAAACA